This 273-nucleotide unclassified non-coding RNA is filed under the name Hevea brasiliensis (rubber tree). The record is from RNAcentral. Lineage: Eukaryota; Viridiplantae; Streptophyta; Magnoliopsida; Malpighiales; Euphorbiaceae.
GCAAAAGUUGUGAGAAGGGCAAUUACGAUGGUAAGAACAUGUGCAUUGUAAACUAGCAAAUGCACCAUUGGAAGGUAGAACAUAUUAAAAUUGCAUGAAAAUGAGGGGUAGACCCAAUAAGAAGCAGGGAAAGGGGUGAAAUGAUCCAUAUUGUUGACACCCCAACUAGUUUGGGAUUAACGCUAAGUUGAGUUGAGUAGAGUAGCAUUACAUCUGCUCUUAUGCACAUGACAAUAGUGACUAAAAAUUUUCAGUUGGUUCUCUAUAGCACCA